GCGCCCAUAGCUCAAUGGUUAGAGCGCUCCGCUUAUAUCGGAGUGGUUGGGGGUUCGAGUCCCUCUGGGCGUACUA
RNAcentral lists this transfer RNA (76 nucleotides) under Candidatus Kaiserbacteria bacterium RIFCSPHIGHO2_01_FULL_56_24. Its description in RNAcentral is "tRNA-Ile". It matches the Rfam family "tRNA". Rfam says of the family: Transfer RNA (tRNA) molecules are approximately 80 nucleotides in length. Their secondary structure includes four short double-helical elements and three loops (D, anti-codon, and T loops). Further hydrogen bonds mediate the characteristic L-shaped molecular structure. tRNAs have two regions of fundamental functional importance: the anti-codon, which is responsible for specific mRNA codon recognition, and the 3' end, to which the tRNAs corresponding amino acid is attached (by aminoacyl-tRNA synthetases). tRNAs cope with the degeneracy of the genetic code in two manners: having more than one tRNA (with a specific anti-codon) for a particular amino acid; and 'wobble' base-pairing, i.e. permitting non-standard base-pairing at the 3rd anti-codon position. The record is from RNAcentral. Lineage: Bacteria; Candidatus Kaiseribacteriota.